This 3351-nucleotide long non-coding RNA is filed under the name Canis lupus familiaris (dog). Its description in RNAcentral is "lncRNA (ENSCAFG00000050478.1, ENSCAFG00845021957.1)". Lineage: Eukaryota; Metazoa; Chordata; Mammalia; Carnivora; Canidae. The record is from RNAcentral.
GGGCAUUUUGCAUACGUUACUUAAUACUGCUAAACCUUCACCUUGACUUUGCAUGCUGGAAAUAUGCCCAUUUUAUAGGUGAAGAAAUUGGAGGUUCACGUGAAGUUGAUUUGCCGAGGGUCACAUACCAAGUGGACUUGGCCUCUUCCAUAAGAUCACACUGCUUCCUUUGGGAAAUAAGCUCUUCCCAUAUCAUGUGUUUCUGGCUCCAUGGAGAUCCAGUGGUUUUGGCUCUCCUUGCAGUUGGGCUGUGACCAGCCCAGUUGGGCUGAGCAGGAGUCGUCAUGCUCAGGACAUGGAUGGUUGGGGUGUCCUGCCUGUAGCACACAUUGCCCCUUCCUCACUCUCAGUGUGGAAAGGCCACACACAGGCUGAUGAGAUCAACUGCCAAGAUCACUGAACUGAGGAAAAUCAGCCUCAUGAGAUGAGGGGUCCAAACUCUAUAAAUAAAAGUAAGAACUAAUAAUGCUGGGGAGUAAAAUGGAGCUCAUAGAACAAACAAAAGCUUUAUAUGAACUGUAAUAAUUUCAGAGGGCAAGGGGGCUAUUGCUACUAUGAAAUAAUAACAGACUAUUUAAAAAAUAACUAUUUUGAAAUGCAAAACAAUGCAUUUGGAGAUAAGGUCAAGAAGUUCUCCAAAAAAAGUAGAACUAUGAACAAAGAUUUAAAUGACGCUUUAAGGAGAUAUGGAAUACGAUUCCACAGUUCUGACAUGCAUGUAAUAGGAAUCUCAGGAGAAAGCAUGAGGGAGUCUUGUGAUGGAAGUGUUCUUUGACAGUACAAUGUCAGUUGUGUUAUGACAUUAUACUAUAGUUUUGCAAAAUGUUAUCAUGGAAACGGGAUAAAGACUACAUGGGAUAUAGUUCUUACAACUACAUGCAAUUGUACAAUUAUAACAAAUAUAAAAAUUUCACUAAAAAAUGAAUUAUUUGCUCCCAGUUUUCAAGUUGUGAGAACUCCUUAUAUGAUUUGGAUAUGAGUCCUUUAUCAGAUAGAUGUUUUACAAAUAUCAUCAGUCUAUGGCUGGUAUUUAAAUUUUCUCUAAUAGUGAAAGAUUUUUAUUUCAUGUUGUCCAAUUUAUCAUUUUUAAUGGUUUCCAUUUUUUAUAUACUAAGUAAAAAAUUGUUCCUUAACUGGAUGUCCAAAAGAUUUUCUCCUAGACAGUUCGUAGUUUUAAAUUUAAGUCUAUAAAUAUAAUUUUUACUUACUUUGCAGGUUGUAUGAGGUGUAAGGGUCAAGCUUUAGUAUUUUCUAUAUGAUACCAAAUUGAUCCUGUAUCAUCUGUUUAAAAGACUAUCCUUUAUUCAUUGAUUUAACUUUGCACUUUUGGCAUGUAUAUAGUCAAUUACAUAGCAUCAAGAAUAUGGAAAGAUAAGACUUACUGAAUGUAUAACAUAUUACUGAUAAAGAAGAUAUAAUAAAUUGAGUUAUACCAUGUUCAUAGAUUAGAUAUUUUAAUGUUGUUAAGAAUCAGUCCUCCCCAAAUUGAUCUAUAGUCUGUAAAAUCCCCAUCUAAAUUAUAUUAAGCUGUUUUAUAAUUCAACUGUAGAAAUUGACAAGUUGAUUCUAAAAUUUAUAUGUAAACACUUAGUCAAGGAAACAUUGAAAAGGAAGGACACUAAAGGAAAAACACUAAAAUUAGAACACUACCUAAUUUUAAGACUUGUUAUAAAAUAUACUAGAAGUCUACUGGGACUCUGAAUGGGAUUUUGUUGAAUGUAUGUAUCAAUUUCAGGAAAAAAACCUUCCAAUCCAUGAAUGUGUUCUAUAUUUAUGAAUGUGUUCUAUAUCUAUAUCCCAUUUAUUUAUAUCUUUAGUUUUUACUCAGCAAUGUUUUGUAGUUUUCAGUACAGGUAUAUCACAUAUGAAUUAAUUUUUUAGCCAUUAUAAAUGCUAUUUUUUAGCCAUCAUAAAUGGUAUUAAAAUUUUUUAAUUUGUACUUUUUCAUUGUUUAUAUUGGAAUACAAUUUAUUUUUAUAGGAUGUGAUCAUGCUUAUUAGUUCUAAUGGCUUUUUAAAAAUAGAUCUCCUUGGAUUUCUACAAAGACAAUCAUAUCAUCUGCAAAUAGAGUCUUAUAUUUUCCUUUGCAAUCUUGGCACAUUUUACUUAUUUUUCUUGCCUUCUUGCACUGGCUAGGGCCUCCUGUAAUAUGUUGAAUGAAAGUUGUAAGAAGUUGCCUUAUUCCUUUUUUUAGAAAGCAUUUAGUCUUUCAUCAUUAAGCAUGAUAUCAACCAAAGUAUUUUCUUGGAUGCUUUUUAUCAGGUUAGCAAAAUUGCUUCUAUUUUGGUUUGCUGACAGUUUUUAUAAGGGAUGAAUAUAGGAUAUUAGCAAUUCUUCCCUCAUUUAUUGAGAUCAUAUAUAUUUAACCAACUGAGCCACCCAGGUACCCCAUGAAUUCAAUUUCUUUAAUACAUUUAGGGCUACUCACAUUAUCUGUUUUCUCAUGAGUGAGUUUUGGGUAGUUUGUUAUGGGCUGAAUUGUGUUCUCCCCAAAUUAAAAUGUUGAAGUUCUAACCCUCAGAACUUGAGAAUAUGACUGUAUUUAGAGAUCUGGCCUUUGAUGAGGUAAUUAAGUUAAAAUGAGACAUUAGAGUGGGCCCUAAUCAAAUAUGACUGGUGUCCUUAUAAGAAGAGAAUAGGGGGUGCCUAGGUGGCACAGUUGAUUGAGCAUCUGACUCUUGAUUUCAGCUCAGACUGUGAUCUUGGGGUUCUGAGAUCAAGCCCCACAUCAGGCUCAAGCUCAGUGAGGAGUUUGGGAUUCUUUCUCCCUCUCCCUCUGUCCCUCCUGCUUGUUCUCUCUCUCUCUCUCUCAAAUAAACAAAUAAGCCUUAAAAAAUAGAGAUUAGGACAGAGACUGGUACAGAGGAAGACCAAUUGAAAACACAGGGAGAAGUUGACCAUCUACAGGCCAAGGAGAGAGGCCUCAGAAAAAACCAACCCUGUUGACACCUUGAUCUUGGACUUCUAGCCUCCAGAAUUAUGAGAAAAUAAACAUAUUGUUUAAGAUCUCCAGUCUUAGUACUUUGUUAUGGCAGUACUAGCAAAGCAAUGCUAGGUGUUUCAAGGAAUUUGUCCAUUUCACCAAGUUGUUGAAUUUAUUAGCAUAAAAUUGUUGAUCAAAAUGCAAAGCAAAACUACAAGAGAUACUACCUCACACUCAUCAGUAUGGCUAUUAUUAAGAACAGAAAGGGGCACCUAGGUGGCACAGUCAGUUAAGCAUUCAAUUCUUGGCUUCAGCUCAGGUUGUGAUCUGAGGAUCAUGAAGUCAAGCCCCAUGUUGGGCUUUGUGCUAAGUGUGGAAUCUGCUCAAGACUCUCCCUCUCCCUCUGCCCAUCCCUUUAAAUAAAUAAA